This 450-nucleotide ribosomal RNA is filed under the name uncultured bacterium. RNAcentral's name for it is "partial 16S ribosomal RNA". It matches the Rfam family "Bacterial small subunit ribosomal RNA", at positions 354 to 796 of the family's 1533-position model. The record is from RNAcentral.
GUGGGGAAUCUUCCGCAAUGGACGAAAGUCUGACGGAGCAACGCCGCGUGAGUGAAGAAGGUUUUCGGAUCGUAAAGCUCUUUCGUUAGGGACGAACGUGCUCUUUGUAAAUAAUGAGGAGUAAUGACGGUACCUAAAUAAGAAGCCACGGCUAACUACGUGCCAGCAGCCGCGGUAAUACGUAGGUGGCAAGCGUUGUCCGGAAUUAUUGGGCGUAAAGCGCGCGCAGGCGGGAUAUCAAGUCUGUCUUAAAAGUGCGAGGCUCAACCUCGUGAGGGGACAGAAACUGGUAUUCUUGAGUGUCGGAGAGGAAAGUGGAAUUCCAAGUGUAGCGGUGAAAUGCGUAGAGAUUUGGAAGAACACCAGUGGCGAAGGCGACUUUCUGGACGAUGUCUGACGCUGAGGCGCGAAAGCUAGGGGAGCGAACGGGAUUAGAUACCCGUGUAGUCC